Molecule: ribosomal RNA, 229 nt
Filed under: uncultured bacterium
Lineage: Bacteria
Description: partial 16S ribosomal RNA
Rfam family: Bacterial small subunit ribosomal RNA
Source: RNAcentral
UGCUCCUUUUGGCUUGUAAGUCAGUGGUGAAAUACUGCCGCUUAACGGUAGAACUGCCAUUGAUACUGCAAGUCUUGAGUAUGGUUGAGGUAGGCGGAAUGUGUUGUGUAGCGGUGAAAUGCAUAGAUAUGACACAGAACUCCAAUUGCGAAGGCAGCUUACUAAGCCAUUACUGACGCUGAGGCACGAAAGCGUGGGGAGCGAACAGGAUUAGAUACCCUGGUAGUCC